AGCCUCAUCAGCAACCCCCCAGCCAUGAUUAACCCUGCUAAUUCAGAUACAAUGGCCUGUGAGUAUCUGUCUGUGGAAGUAAUGGAGCGCUGGAUUAUCAUUGGGUUUCUUCUUUGUCAUGGGUGCCUCAACUCCAAUAGCCAGUGCCAGAAGCUGUGGAAGCUGUGUCUGCAGGGCUCCCUGUACAUCACCCUUAUCCGUGAGGAUGUGCUGCAGGUGCACAAAGUCACCGAGGACCUGUUUAGCAGUUUGAAAGGGUGAGAAACACGACAGCCAACUGAUCUUCCUUGAAUAGUUUUUAGCCCCUCCCAACAUCCUUUUUCAGUCUCCACAGGUGUUCCCAGAUACAGGUGGUAAUGAUUAAUUCUAACUAUUGAAGAAGUAUACAUUAAAUACCUACUAUUAGCUAACUGCUUCACUGGGUUUUAGGGAUACAAUAAUGAAUAAGAUAACAUGGAGGUUAAGAGCACAGACUCUGAAACCAGAUUGCUUGGGUUUGAAUUCAGGCUCUACCACUAGUUGUGUGGCCUUGGGCAAGUUGCUCAAAUUUCCCAUGCCAUUACCUCAAUUUCCUCAUCUAUAAAAUGUGGAUAAUAGUAGUACCUCCCUAUGGCCUACCUCAUAGGGUUGUUGUGAAGAAUAAAAGGGUUAUUAUUUGUAAAGCAGGUAGAAAAUUCCUGAUACAUUGUAAGUGCUAUGUGCUUGUU
This 707-nucleotide small RNA is filed under the name Pongo abelii (Sumatran orangutan). RNAcentral's name for it is "retained intron". The record is from RNAcentral. Lineage: Eukaryota; Metazoa; Chordata; Mammalia; Primates; Hominidae.